GAACAGGAAGGGGACAGGCUGAGGCAGAGAAAGGGAGUGAGAGAGAGAGCAAAAGCAAUGAGAAGUGGGACAAAACCAUUGGAAAUGCAUUCAGGCUGACAUCAUCACCCUUUCCCACAGUGGUCAUUCACUUAUGAGGCUCCAGUGUCCAUUCACUGCCUUAAAGCUAGCUUUCUAGAGCCUGGGGAGACCAUCUCUCCCAGCCUGAAUGCCUGCCUGAAUGCCUUUUUUGUUGUGAAACAGUGAACUGUUUCUGAAACCCUGCAUAAAGGGCUGAGUAAUUCACUUCAGUUGCCAGGAAGUCUGAGCCACUUGUGAGCUAACAAUAGUUAACUUUAUCUCCCAGCCCGAGCCGGCGGUUCCAGCUGUAGGUCCCGAAUCCUAAUAAGGGCUUUACUCAUGCCUAUGAGGUUAUGAUUUGGAUGUUGAUACUCAGAAAGCAAUCUGCACAGUGACAGCAUAGCUGUGUAUAAGCAAUGACACAAAACAGUGACUGAAACAGUCGUCCUGCAAAGCCAGUAACCAUGAUGUGCCUUCGAAAGAUGCGGAUCAUCAGUUUUCUUCUCUACAUUCUGAGCUAUGCUCUUUUCUGAGAACUAACAGCAUCAAGUUCAGUGUAAGAAAAGUUUUACUUUAUCCCUUUGGCCUGCAGUGUUUUUCAAAAGAAAAAAAAAUUGCUUAUUCCUCACCGUAAAGCAAACGAUCGCUCAGAUUGGAAUUUAUUUAAGAGCAUUGCUGUGAACAUGCUUGUUCAAGGUAAAAGACAGCACAGCUUGAACAACUUUUUCUUGCCUUUGGUGUAUGUAUCUUACUCAUUGUGCCUUUAGAAACAGCAUUAGAAAUGCCUGGAUAAAAAUAAAAGCACAUCUUUCAAAGUU
Molecule: long non-coding RNA, 878 nt
Organism: Gallus gallus (chicken)
Lineage: Eukaryota; Metazoa; Chordata; Aves; Galliformes; Phasianidae
Exons: 2
Source: RefSeq, a predicted model, not a curated record